This 1517-nucleotide long non-coding RNA is filed under the name Mus musculus (house mouse). Its description in RNAcentral is "predicted gene, 46614". The record is from RNAcentral. Lineage: Eukaryota; Metazoa; Chordata; Mammalia; Rodentia; Muridae.
ACUCUGGGAUAGAGCCAGGCACAGGAAGAGAUUUGCCUACAACUCUGAGGAGACGAAUUGGAUGCAUGAAACUGAGGAAAGCCUGGAGAGCAUCAAGGCUGGGUGGCUCAAUGGCCUGCACCCUGGAAGCUGCUCUGGUGCAUGGAGAGCUGGUCCUAUGGCUUUCCUUGGGAGGCACUGCUUUGGGCAGCAACAUCAGAUUCUGAGGACUCACCACGGGGUCGGAAGUGGCAACAGGCAGCUUUGUGACUUGGCCAUGGGAAGUGCAGAGCACGCUUACGGUGCAUUGGCUGCUUCUCUAAGAUUUCCUCUUCCUUCAGUUGGGAAGAACAGCCCUGAACAUCGUGAGAACACCACAGCUCCUGCCUCUUCCUGGAACUCAUCUCCAGGAUGGUCUCUCUCAUUCCAGUCUCACCUAAGUCCUGCAGGAAUAUGUGUGUUACCAGGUUUAUGGCAGAGUAGCCAAGCCGGCUCUUGGUUCAUGACCUGUGAUCCGGAGGCAGGCACCACACUCACUGAAACUCGACUCUUUGUAUCUCAGGAAAGCAAGGGAGCCCUUUGGGCUAUGUGGGGAGCAACACAAUUGUUAAACAGAAGGUGUGAGCAGGUUCACAGAGGUGCAAUCUCAGCAGUUAGGAUGCAGGCUUACAGCAGGAAUGUGGAUAUCCAGAGAGGAACACUGAAGUGAGAAGGCCACCGAGGGCCAGCAUCCCCAUGAACUGCACCUGGGCCAUUACUGGCUGUGUCAGCCUCCUUCCCCGUCUCGAUGCUCUGAGUGGUCUGUUGCAGCCAUAACCUCUCGAGACAUGCUACUACAAACAUGGGGCGUCUUCAGCACCAGCUCCUGGUACUGACUCUCCCUCACCACAGCGCUGUGAUUCUGGAACCCUAUCCAUGACGGUGGGCGAUUCUGUAUUUAUCAAAUGAGUUGUUAGUCCAGGUUGCGGGUGCCAAGAGCUAGCGGUGGUAUUGAGGCCCGAUGAAACAUGUUAACCAACACAAUCAAAUUCCAAAUAACUAGACAAAUAAGACAAAGGGAUAAAAUGGUUACUUUAGAUAAAAUUCACAAACUGCCAUCCAAAGAUUCAAAAGAUGAUCCUAGCACUGGGCUGGUCAUGUUUAGCAACUGAUUUCCAAAAACAAAAGCAUAAAACCCCCAGUGUUCAGCGUUUGCCAGUCUCCUACUGAGGCUGGUUGCAAGCUAACAACUUGAUAUCAACUGGCUCACAAAAUUCCUGAAAAUGUAACAGUUGGCUCCCUUGCCCCAGUGAGUGCCAACUCCAGCAUGCACCAAGCCAUUAUGGAGUAUGCCUUGUGAGGUUCCAAGAGAUUAGCACAUUUCAAUUUAUCUUCAUCUUCACCAGAAUGCAAGCAGGAGGGUGGCUGGGAAGUGUGGAGCCGGGUUACGGUGGAGUCGGCCCGGCUCCUGUGGUAUCUGGCCUUGCUACCAGCCCUGAGUAACUAGGGGGCUAAGUGAUCCUCCAGCUUGACUUGGCAGAAAUAAAUCCCACAUAAGG